UUUAGCUUUUAUUGUUCCAGGGGCACCAGCCUUACUGUACGACAUGGGGGGAUUGCUCACAGUCUUACUGCUAAUGAACCUCCUCAUAGGUCCCCUCUAUGGGGUGAAAGUGACCCAAGACAAAAAGCUUCUAAUUAUCGGCUCAGGGGAAGAUGCGGAACUUUCCUGUCGCCAUGACGACAGCAGCUACUACAACAUGUACUGGUACCAGGAGAAGCCGGGCCUGGGCCUGAAGCUCAUGUUGUUCUCACUAAAUGCUGGUUCUGAAACCCUGGAGAGUGACUACCGGGCCGACUGGGAGGCGGAGAGAAAAGUCGUUCUCAACUCAACUCUGCGACUGAAGAAAGGGAACGUGGGGGAUUCUGCCACUUAUUUCUGUGCAGCGAGUAUCCACGGCAACGCAAGGCUCCCUGCCCCCUGGCACCAAACCCCCCCCUGGCACCAAACCCAAAGACCCCCAGCGUUGGGCUGGGACCCCCAUGGGAAUGGGCUCAGUUAUGGGGAAAGUUUUGAAACCCUGAUCCUCAUUACACUCCAUGAUCCGAGGGCCGUUAGACCCCGCCUCCUGGCUACAUAG
This is a non-coding RNA of Xenopus tropicalis (tropical clawed frog), 577 nucleotides long. Lineage: Eukaryota; Metazoa; Chordata; Amphibia; Anura; Pipidae. The record is from the annotation of a RefSeq genome assembly.